Molecule: non-coding RNA, 322 nt
Organism: Pelobates cultripes (western spadefoot toad)
Lineage: Eukaryota; Metazoa; Chordata; Amphibia; Anura; Pelobatidae
Source: the annotation of a GenBank genome assembly
CAGCACCCGAGCGAGCAGGACGCAAAUCACAGUAGCUCCAUUAAGGAACUUACACUAAGGCUGAAUUUUGGCGAUAAACGGCACAAUUCACAAGCCACCCAACGCUCACUGAGUGCCUCACAUUAUGGGCAAGAAGACUAAGAAGCACAAAACCGAUCCCGGCCCUAGAUCCGGAGAUAUUGCAGCUUUUCUAUGCUCGGCCACGCGGCCGCGGUCCGACCUCGACAAGAUGGCGAUGGCGGAGGCCUAUACCUCCCCGUCAUCGGACGAAGAGAGCCAGACAGCGGUCUACUUACCUCCACAGAAGGCACACACCAAGCCG